GACGUAGGGCGCGAGCGUUGUCCGGAUUUAUUGGGCGUAAGGGCUUGUUGGGGGGUUGUUGGGGUAACUGGGAAAACCCGUGGCUCAACCAUGUGGUCUGCAGUCGAUACGGGCAGGCUAGAAUUCGGUAGGGGAGACUGGAAUUCCUGGUGUAGCGGUGAAAUGCGCAGAUAUCAGGAGGAACACCGGUGGCGAAGGCGGGUCUCUGGGCCGAUACUGACGCUGAGGAGCGAAAGCUAGGGGAGCAAACAGG
Molecule: ribosomal RNA, 253 nt
Filed under: uncultured bacterium
Lineage: Bacteria
Description: partial 16S ribosomal RNA
Rfam family: Bacterial small subunit ribosomal RNA
Source: RNAcentral